UACAAAAUAUUGGGUCACACAUUUUCGAAUAUCUCCUUAUAAACUACAUUUGAAGUGGUGCUGAUACAAUCUCCAUUGUCAUCCGUUAAUAAUUUCUUCAGACCAUCCCUUGAUGUAACACGUGAUAUUGCAACAUAUAGCUGCCCAUGUGAGACGACCGACUGUGGAAGAUAGAUGCCAACUUGCUUAAGUGAUUGUCCCUGACUUUUGUUUAUA
This 216-nucleotide long non-coding RNA is filed under the name Medicago truncatula (barrel medic). Its description in RNAcentral is "long non-coding RNA (MTRU_LNC008355)". The record is from RNAcentral. Lineage: Eukaryota; Viridiplantae; Streptophyta; Magnoliopsida; Fabales; Fabaceae.